Molecule: unclassified non-coding RNA, 487 nt
Filed under: Hevea brasiliensis (rubber tree)
Lineage: Eukaryota; Viridiplantae; Streptophyta; Magnoliopsida; Malpighiales; Euphorbiaceae
Source: RNAcentral
AAUUCGGCGUGUAUCGCAUUUACAUGCUUCCAAGUUUUUCAUGUUAUUGUCUCGAACCUCGAAACACUCUUAACCGCAACAACUACAAACAACGGCAAUAGCAGCAGAAGAAAACCCACGCAUCCUCUUUUCGUUGUCCAAAAAUCCCACAAAACCCCGCGCCUACUUCUUCUCCCUUAUCAAAUCCACUCGCCAAUCUCCAAUUUCUUCACUCCUUUAGAUCUUUCUUUCUCUACCAAUUCCUUGCUCUUUGUUUCUUGAUUUUCUUUGCGGCGUGUAAUGUAGUUUACAACCAGGGAGAGAUGGCGGGACAGGUGGUGAAAGUAAAGAGGGACAUAAUACAGGCAUGCAUGACUUGUCCUCUUUGUAAGAAGCUGCUAAGGGAUGCUACCACUAUAUCUUUGUGUCUCCACACGUUCUGCAGGAAAUGCAUAUAUGAAAAGCUCUCAGAUGAAGAAGUAGACUGCUGUCCUGUAUGCAAUAUUGA